AUUUAUAUAGUAUAAAUAUUAUAUUUGACUUCCAAUCAAAAGAUCUAUUAAUAAAUAAUAGUAUAAAUA
RNAcentral lists this transfer RNA (69 nucleotides) under Neohydnus jiuzhaigouensis. Its description in RNAcentral is "tRNA-Gly". It matches the Rfam family "tRNA". From Rfam's summary of the family: Transfer RNA (tRNA) molecules are approximately 80 nucleotides in length. The record is from RNAcentral. Lineage: Eukaryota; Metazoa; Arthropoda; Insecta; Coleoptera; Cleridae.